GAUGAACGCUGGCGGCGUGCCUAAUACAUGCAAGUCGAGCGAACAGACGAGGAGCUUGCUCCUCUGACGUUAGCGGCGGACGGGUGAGUAACACGUGGAUAACCUACCUAUAAGACUGGGAUAACUUCGGGAAACCGGAGCUAAUACCGGAUAAUAUAUUGAACCGCAUGGUUCAAUAGUGAAAGACGGUUUUGCUGUCACUUAUAGAUGGAUCCGUGCCGCAUUAGCUAGUUGGUAAGGUAACGGCUUACCAAGGCGACGAUGCGUAGCCGACCUGAGAGGGUGAUCGGCCACACUGGAACUGAGACACGGUCCAGACUCCUACGGGAGGCAGCAGUAGGGAAUCUUCCGCAAUGGGCGAAAGCCUGACGGAGCAACGCCGCGUGAGUGAUGAAGGUCUUCGGAUCGUAAAACUCUGUUAUUAGGGAAGAACAAAUGUGUAAGUAAAUAUGCACGUCUUGACGGUACCUAAUCAGAAAGCCACGGCUAACUACGUG
Molecule: ribosomal RNA, 497 nt
Filed under: uncultured bacterium
Lineage: Bacteria
Description: partial 16S ribosomal RNA
Rfam family: Bacterial small subunit ribosomal RNA
Source: RNAcentral